Paramormyrops kingsleyae is the source of this 1098-nucleotide long non-coding RNA. RefSeq lists it as uncharacterized. The record is from RefSeq and is a predicted model, not a curated record. NCBI's taxonomy places the organism in Eukaryota, Metazoa, Chordata, Actinopteri, Osteoglossiformes, Mormyridae.
GUGAACCAGGGAGGGGCUCCCGAGAGCAGCCGGGCGUGAACCGCCGAGUCGACACCUCGGCCCCGACCACCCAAAGAACCCGCAGAGAGUCCCAAGGGUGAUUUCUUGCCUGCGAUUGAUAUUUCGUUUCCCCACGUGGUCAGUCCAGCUAGCCCCCGCUCCUGGAGCCCCUCAUACCCAAGGGCCCCGCUGUCUGGCAGCCAUCCAGAGACUGCAGGUGCUCUGCAGCCACCAGACGCCUUCAGCAUAACAAAGCCAUGUGGCCGCAGCCUCAGGUGGCCGUCAGAUGACUGAAAAUUAUGGGUGGUAUUUAACAAAUAAAAUCCCCUCCCAUUCAAUGCUAAUGGAACCACAUGCAAGAGAAAUGUCACAAGACUUGAGAAGGGAAGCAUUUUUUACACAACAAAGGUCAAGGCUACAAGAAAAUUAGUAAAGCGAAUCAGCCAGAAUACAGCAAGCGAAUGCGAUUCAAAAACUCAAAAACGAUGGACUUCUGGUAAAGUUCUCUCAGACCUCCAGGCCAUCCAUGGAAGUCAACACCUCAACAUGACGGUUUUGUAAUGAGAAGAGUUGAGGAAAAUUGCCAUGCAAGUUCAUCACAGUUAGCUAAAGCAGUAGAAAGCCUGACGGGGGGGGGGGGUGACUGUUACCCGUGGCACAGUGUGGCAUAUGCUGCAGGAGGGUGGCACGCAAGGGUUUCGCCCACGAAGGAGACCAAUGCCAAAGCCAAGGUGAUGAAAUCAAGACAAAUCUUUUCGGAACGGAUGGCGGCCAAAUUGCAUGGCGUCACAAGGGCAAGGAGCACAAAGAAAAAUGCAAGGUACCCCCAGUAAAGCCUGUGGGGGUGUAUGAACACUGCAAGUGUCGGGGAAUUGCAGUUCACUGGUGACAUCAUGAAUUCACAGGUCUACUGAAAGAGGAGAUGGUGCCAUCUCUGCAUGCCCUGGGUCGCCAGGCACUCCUUCAACAUGACAGUGACCCAAAACUUACAUCCAAGGCCACUGCUUCAUUUCUGAGGAUGGACAGGAUCAAAGUGAUGGCAGUAGCAUGUCACCCAACGCCAACCCAACAGAACACCUACAUGGAGUUCUGAAAAGA